CGGGGUGCAGCAGGCGCGAAACCUCUGCAAUAGGCGAAAGCCUGACAGGGUUACUCUGAGUGAUUCCCGCUAAGGGGAUCUUUUGGCACCUCUAAAAAUGGUGCAGAAUAAGGGGUGGGCAAGCCUGGUGUCAGCCGCCGCGGUAAUACCAGCACCCCGAGUGGUCGGGACGAUUAUUGGGCCUAAAGCAUCCGUAGCCGGCCACGCAAGUCCUCCGUUAAAUCCACCCGCUCAACGGUUGGGCUGCGGAGGAUACUACGUGGCUAGGAGGCGGGAGAGGCAAGCGGUACUCAAUGGGUAGGGGUAAAAUCCUUUGAUCCAUUGAAGACCACCAGUGGCGAAGGCGGCUUGUCAGAACGCGCUCGACGGUGAGGGAUGAAAGCUGGGGGAGCAAACCGGAUUAGAUACCCGGGUAGUCCCAGCUGUAAACGAUGCAGACUCGGUGAUGGGAUGGCCUCGAGCCAUCCCAGUGCCGCAGGGAAGCCGUUAAGUCUGCCGCCUGGGGAGUACGGUCGCAAGACUGAAACU
Molecule: ribosomal RNA, 528 nt
Filed under: uncultured archaeon
Lineage: Archaea
Description: bacterial SSU rRNA
Rfam family: Archaeal small subunit ribosomal RNA
Source: RNAcentral